CGCCUGGGGAGUGCGGCCGCAAGGUUAAAACUCAAAUGAAUUGACGGGGGCCCGCACAAGCGGUGGAGCAUGUGGUUUAAUUCGACGCAACGCGAAGAACCUUACCUGGCCUUGACAUGCAGAGAACUUUCCAGAGAUGGAUUGGUGCCUUCGGGAACUCUGACACAGGUGCUGCAUGGCCGUCGUCAGCUCGUGUCGUGAGAUGUUGGGUUAAGUCCCGUAACGAGCGCAACCCCUAUCCCUAGUUGCUAGCAGUUCGGCUGAGAACUCUAGGGAGACUGCCGGUGACGAACCGGAGGUAGGUGGGGAUGACGUCAGGUCAUCAUGGCCCUUACGGCCAGGGCUACACACGUGCUACAAUGGUGCGCACAGAGGGCUGCAAACCCGCGAGGGGGAGCCAAUCUCACAAAACGCAUCGUAGUCCGGAUCGCAGUCUGCAACUCGACUGCGUGAAGUCGGAAUCGCUAGUAAUCGUGAAUCAGAAUGUCACGGUGAAUACGUUCCCGGGCCUUGUACACACCGCCCGUCACACCAUGGGAGUGGAUUGCACCAGAAGUGGUUAGUCUAACCUUCGGGAGGACGAUCACCACGGUGUGGUUCAUGACUGGGGUGAAGUCGUAACAAGGUAACCGUA
This 634-nucleotide ribosomal RNA is filed under the name uncultured Marinobacter sp. Its description in RNAcentral is "bacterial SSU rRNA". It matches the Rfam family "Bacterial small subunit ribosomal RNA", at positions 870 to 1504 of the family's 1533-position model. Lineage: Bacteria; Pseudomonadati; Pseudomonadota; Gammaproteobacteria; Pseudomonadales; Marinobacteraceae. The record is from RNAcentral.